AGAUACAGCCGUACCCCGGCGAAGGCCGGGGCCCAGGCUCCACCAAGUCGGUGCCGUGCUAUUCGAUGCGGGGGAGGCAAAGGCGUCCCACCUGCGACAGCGCACCGCAACUGGACCCCGGCCUUCGCCGGGGUACGGCGAGGAUU
This 146-nucleotide microRNA precursor is filed under the name Sphingomonas yabuuchiae. RNAcentral describes it as "microRNA MIR1846". Lineage: Bacteria; Pseudomonadati; Pseudomonadota; Alphaproteobacteria; Sphingomonadales; Sphingomonadaceae. The record is from RNAcentral.